CAGCAGCCGCCGCGGUAAUACGAAGGGGGCGAGCGUUGUUCGGAUUUACUGGGCGUAAAGGGCGCGCAGGCGGCAGAUCAAGUCAGAUGUGAAAGCCCCGGGCUUAACCUGGGAACUGCAUUUGGGACUGGUUUGCUAGAGAUCGGGAGAGGAGAGUGGAAUUCCCAGUGUAGAGGUGAAAUGCGUAGAGAUGUGGAGGAACACCAGUGGCGAAGGCGACUCUCUGGUCUGUAACUGACGCUGAGGAGCGAAAGCGUGGGGAGCGAACAGGAUUAGAUACCCCCGUAGUCCCUGUCUCUUAUAC
This 304-nucleotide ribosomal RNA is filed under the name uncultured bacterium. RNAcentral's name for it is "partial 16S ribosomal RNA". It matches the Rfam family "Bacterial small subunit ribosomal RNA", at positions 506 to 807 of the family's 1533-position model. The record is from RNAcentral.